Molecule: long non-coding RNA, 1650 nt
Organism: Bubalus bubalis (water buffalo)
Lineage: Eukaryota; Metazoa; Chordata; Mammalia; Artiodactyla; Bovidae
Exons: 2
Source: RefSeq, a predicted model, not a curated record
UAUUAAAGAUAUAAGUGAAGCACAGGAUUGGGCCUAGAGGAGCCACCAGCUUAAAGCUGUUGACCACACUCCCUUCAGCUGGGCAACAAGGCCUUCCUAAAAGGUUGGUGCGGCGGCACCUUUCCAAGUGAACCACAAUUGCCAGUCAACAGCACUGAGUUAGCAAGUAGUGAAAUGUUGCUCCUGGGGAAAUACAGGGCCUAGGUUCCUGUGAGCCUCUGAUCACAACAUUGUCACCAAUGGAUCAAUACGUGACCUGGUUUGAUGUUUCUACAGGAAUCAUUCAUUUGUUCCAGGAUCUCUGGACUAAGAAGAAAUUCUCUUCCACAUUCCACUCAGCAUAAGCUAUGCUUAUCCUUUACUUGCUAAUAAAACAGCAGCUUGUGUUUAAUGUGGAUUGAUUCAAAUAAGAGAAUUCAGCGACUUUCCAAACCCACCAACUUCUUCCUGUGUGGUUAAAUGUUCCCAUAUUUGGUGAAAAUGGAGAAAGGAAAUAACAAAGGAUUGGAUAUUAUCCUAAAAGCUAUUUGUUUACUUUAAAAGUCUUAAUAAAAAGAUUUCUCCAAUUUAUUUUUCAUAACUUCAUAGGAAGCAAGAACAAUUUCUGAGAGGAACUGGUUUUUAGACAAAAAUGUCAUUUAAUCUCUAAGUAUAUUGUAUAUUACUUUAAAGUGCUACCUGGCGUUUGUAAUCUAAGAUGUCCAGAAUAGAUAACAUUGCAAAGAUUCUCUGAUAAUCAUGAGGAUGCAGGUUUAUUUCCUUCAGUGGGGUGUCCGUUAAAAGAAUAUGAACUUUUUAACUGGCCUCCAGCCUCUGUGCCAUGUGAUCUACCUGCAUUUUUCCAUAAUUUGUGAGCACCAGCUGAGGUUUUUUAAUAGUUGAAGCUAAUAUUUGUUAAUUGAAAGUGGAGGUGAUUUAAACCAAACCAAAAAUAGCAUGUAUAUAUAUUUUUUAACAUUGAACCUAUGUUGGGACUUUUGUUCUGUUUUCUUCUUCUUUGUGCUUUUCUUGUUUUUGUAAAAAAAAGUCAGCUUUAUUAAGGUAUAAUUGACGAAUAAAAUUAUAAGGUAUUUAAGUGUACAUGUGAUGAUUUGAUACAUGUUAUGAGAGAAUUCUCCCCAUCUAGUUAAUUAACACAUCCAUCACCUCACAUAUUUAUCCUUUUUUUCUUUUAAGAGAACAUUUAAGUACUACACUCAGCAACAUUCAGUUAUACAAUAGAGUGUUGUCAACUAUAGUCACCAUGUUUGAAGUUAGAUCCUCAGACCUUGUUCAUCUCACACCUGAAACUUUGCACCCUUUUUAUCAAUAUCUCUCUAUUCCCCAACCCCCCAGCCUCUGGCAACCACUGUUUUACUCUGUCUAGGAGUUAGUUUUUGUGUGUGUGUGUGUUUUUAAGUUUCCAGGUAUAAGUGAUACUUUGGAGUAUUUGUCUUUCUCUUUCUGGCUUAUUUCACUUAGCAUAAUACCUUCAAGAUCCAUUCACAAAUGGCAUGAUUUCUUUCUUUCUGAGAGCUGGAUAAUAUGUUACACCUCUAUCCAUUCAUCUCUCUGGACAUUUAGGUUGCUUCCAUGUCUUGGCUAUUGUAAAUAGUGCUGCUAUGACAUUGGGGCUGUAGUUAUCUCAUUUGAUACCCUGUUUUCAUCCCC